Molecule: long non-coding RNA, 1773 nt
Organism: Rhagoletis zephyria (snowberry fruit fly)
Lineage: Eukaryota; Metazoa; Arthropoda; Insecta; Diptera; Tephritidae
Source: RefSeq, a predicted model, not a curated record
CGAGCAGGGCUGCAAUUCAAACGUCUAUAACGGAAGAGAAGCGGAAAAUAGCUUUGAUCGUGUACGAAUAGUAGUGCACUAAAUCGCUAAAACGAAUUUCCUUCAUCUGCAUGCCAGUUACAUAUAAAAGUUAUUUUUUAACUAAGAACCGCAAAGUGGUAACAAAGUAAUUAAGGGUGUCUUAUAUACGAAAUUAAUUGGCGGUUAAAUGGAUAGCUGGAAGAAAAAGUGUUGAAUUAAGUCAAUGGUCUGACCUACUUAACGGUAAACGUUCGGCUGUAUGUGUUAAAAACUAAUGUAUAUUUUGUAUGUAAAUCAACUAAUAACCCGAAAUUCGAAAACGAAGCAAUAACUUAUAAUUUUAGUGCUAAAUGAAGUGAGAAAGCACACUCAACACUAACAACUUUGGCCGUAAUGAAUGGCUGCUGAAUUUUUUUUGUUUUUUUUUUUUGUUUUGGCAAAUUAACCCACAUUCUGUUGGCAGAAGAAUUAAAAUUUAAGUAACGUAAGCGAACUCAAAAACAAUACUCAUUAAUACAACAAAAAUAACAACGAACAUACAAACUGUAAACUAUGUAUAAAAUAUAAACGAAAUGCAAGCAACGUGAAAUUAAUGUAUUAAAAAAAAACUAAAAGAAGUCACCAGCAAACUAACGCAAUAAAAAAGCAGCAUCAGCGCUAACGACAACUAGUACCUGCGUACAAAUGUGGAUCAUAGAAGAGUGCAGUGUCUGUAAAAAAGCCAGCGUCACCGCGUCGAAUGAUUGCAAAUUGCCAUUUUAACUUUAAAUACUCCUUCGAACACAAAAAUCUACAAUACGAACUAAAGCUUUCAGCUACAUAAACGUACUUGCAAAUAUAAACUUACUUACUUGUUACAAAAAGAAAACACAGCUUCACGUGAGUUAAAAAAAUAUAUAUGAACCUGUAACUGAUACUUUACUUUGCACACAGCCACAAGUUUAUUUUGCGAGAAUUUAAUAGCGAACGAAUAACAAAGCGAAAAAGAAAAAAAACAGAACGAGUUGAGCAAAAACAAAUUAAGAAUAACUCGUAUACAUUACAAAGUUUCCUCUUACAAUGUUCAUUUAGUUUAGUUACUCGUUUAACUUGCUGGAUUUUCGGUUUUGGUGCUUAAAGUCAAGCUGCUGCUCCCAUUUUCGAGCGCACCUUACUUAACUCGACACUGGCUUAAAGGCGCUGAUUGUGUGCAUAUACAUACGUACAGCUGGUGUGCUUUUAUAAAAGAACUAAGAAUACAUACAAAUAAAGUUAGAGAAAAAAGAAACUAAAAUAUAAGGUGCAAAUUUGGCACAACAACACCACCAAAAAAUAAUGUGUGAGUGCUUCAAUUUGCAUAAAUUUUUCGACAUUUUGCACCUCUUUCAUAUUACACACAAAAGUACAUACUUUGUAUACUUUGAACAAAGUUGAAAGCCAUUGAAAGUAUGGCCGCAAAAUAAACAAAAACAUCAACGCAAAUGGCAACAAUACCUACCAAAAAGAAUAUCACCAUCAUCAACAACAACAACAACAACAAUAAGAAUAACAGCCGGCUCGUGUAGCUACAAAAUAUCGGGAAUAUUACUUUUCUGCUGACUUUUUCGUUUCGUUUCUUGCUACAAAGUGAUUAUCGACAGCAAAAUCAAAAGGAAAGAAAAAGUUAAAAAUCGACAACAAAGACGCAAGUUUUCAACGCCGAGGCACGUCAUAUUUAAAUUAAUAAAGAACUUUAAUAAAUAUACGAGUGCAAUCUGAGAAGAUAUACAAAUA